Molecule: ribosomal RNA, 459 nt
Filed under: uncultured bacterium
Lineage: Bacteria
Description: partial 16S ribosomal RNA
Rfam family: Bacterial small subunit ribosomal RNA
Source: RNAcentral
CCUACGGGAGGCAGCAGUGAGGAAUAUUGGUCAAUGGUCGGGAGACUGAACCAGCCAAGCCGCGUGAGGGAUGAAGGUACAGAGUAUCGUAAACCUCUUUUGUCAGGGAACAAAGGCGGGGACGUGUCCCCGGCUGAGUGUACCUGAAGAAAAAGCAUCGGCUAACUCCGUGCCAGCAGCCGCGGUAAUACGGAGGAUGCGAGCGUUAUCCGGAUUUAUUGGGUUUAAAGGGUGCGCAGGCGGUCUGUUAAGUCAGCGGUCAAAGCCCGGGGCUCAACCCCGGCCCGCCGUUGAAACUGGCAGUCUCGAGUUGGAGAGAAGUAUGCGGAAUGCGCGGUGUAGCGGUGAAAUGCAGAGAUAUCGCGCAGAACUCCGAUUGCGAAGGCAGCAUGCCGGCUCCACACUGACGCUGAGGCACGAAAGCGUGGGUAUCGAACAGGAUUAGAUACCCGGGUAGUC